Molecule: long non-coding RNA, 558 nt
Organism: Mercurialis annua (annual mercury)
Lineage: Eukaryota; Viridiplantae; Streptophyta; Magnoliopsida; Malpighiales; Euphorbiaceae
Exons: 2
Source: RefSeq, a predicted model, not a curated record
UUUCUUAUGUCUAUUAUUCAUCUUUUCUUUGUAUUAAUAAUCAAAUUAUUAUUCAAGCCUGAUGUUCUUCUCUCGCUUCAGACCAGAUUUUGAUUUCAAUACCUAAAUAAAUCAUCUAAAAUCUAGAGUUUUUUCUCAUUAUUUUAAAUCUAAGUCAGAUAAAUUCUUUAGGAAAGGUGCAUUCAAGACUCUGUAUUAUAGUUUUGCAAAAGAACUAGUAGCAGAAACAGAAAAACUAAGUUGAGAAAGCUUAUGUUUGCAGCUGUUGUGUACCACAUUGAGGGUGCUAGAAACAACUUUAUUUUCAAUUAGAAGAAGAGUUCAAGCAGUCAUAUUUUCCAGAGAAUCAAGGCUGAAGUUAUGACUAGAUGUUGGGAUAGGAAAUAAUCUUGCUGGUGUUCUUAGUCUGUUUUUCUUUGCUUUUGUUUUGCUUGGCAUGUUGCUUUUGUGCCAGUUGAGUAGCCCUUGGAGCACGUAUCUGGGUGUACCUCUCUUUGAAAUUCUAGUAAAAUUGCUUUUUUUGGUGAUUAACAAAAAAUAAGACUGUAUUAUUCUAUA